This 270-nucleotide ribosomal RNA is filed under the name Puma concolor (puma). RNAcentral describes it as "partial 16S ribosomal RNA". It matches the Rfam family "Bacterial large subunit ribosomal RNA", at positions 1943 to 2307 of the family's 2925-position model. The record is from RNAcentral. Lineage: Eukaryota; Metazoa; Chordata; Mammalia; Carnivora; Felidae.
UGACCGUGCAAAGGUAGCAUAAUCAUUUGUUCCCUAAAUAGGGACUUGUAUGAAUGGCCACACGAGGGCUUUACUGUCUCUUACUUCCAAUCCGUGAAAUUGACCUUCCCGUGAAGAGGCGGGAAUACAACAAUAAGACGAGAAGACCCUAUGGAGCUUUAAUUAACCGACCCAAAGAGACCCAUUAAUUUCAACCGACAGGAACAACAAACCUCUGUAUGGGCCGACAAUUUAGGUUGGGGUGACCUCGGAGAACAGAACAACCUCCGA